Long non-coding RNA from Equus caballus (horse), 18293 nucleotides. NCBI's taxonomy places the organism in Eukaryota, Metazoa, Chordata, Mammalia, Perissodactyla, Equidae. The record is from Ensembl.
CUUUUGCUUCUCCCAUUCAUGGAGCUAGACAGCAGUUCAUGCUCAUUCCCUUAUGGAGGGAUGGGGCAGUGUAGACAGAAGAAAAUACCUUCAAUUCUUCCUGGAUUUGGCUUCCAAAGGCCUUCGCCCAUUCUCCAGUAGCUUUCUGAGAGAGGCAGUGUGGGAAGUGAACUUGGGAAGGGGAGUAGGGCUUCUGGAGAAACAAACCUUCUCUUUAAAUGGAGUUCACUGGCUUGUCUCAGCUUCAUGCCAGACUAAAGAACAUGGUUGGCUCCUGGAUCAGUGGAGACUACCCUGGGAUCAACCCUAAAGUGAUUCCUGCAGAGCCUGAGACUGGAAGCUGUCACACCAUGGAUGACAGCCAGGCUGCUGGAUUCAUUUCAAAGUGACUCAGUGGGGCAGAGAACCAUUAAUAUACUUAUCAUCACAGGUAUUAGUUAUAUGUCACUAUUGAGAACUGUUGCAGAGUAUUAUUUUUCAUUCUUUUAUUUGUUUAACCAUACACUGUCUAGCUUUAAAAAUUUUAUUUGUGUUCAUGUGUUUGUUUUGUUCACAGGUAGACUAUUUUGUUUCUGAGAUUACUCCAAAUUUUACACAGAUGAUAAGUAGGUAGUGAAAAAAAUCCAAUUAGAAAAUGGGUGAAAGACCUGCCGAGACUUUUCACCAAAGAGGAUAUACAGAUGGUGAAUAAGGAGGUGAGAUCUUUAACAUUGUUAGCCAUUAGGGAAAUGCAAAUGCAAACCAUAUUGAGAUAGCACUACACACCUAUCAGAAUGGCUAUAAUAAAAAAUAGUGACAAUACCAAAAUGCUGGAGAAGAUGCAGAGAAACUGGAUCAUUCAUUGCUGGGAGAAUGUAAAAUGGUAUAACUACUCUGGAAAACAGUUUGGCAGUUUCUCUAAAAAAUAAAUGUGCAGCUACUAUAUCACCCAGCAAUUACACUUUUGGACUUUUAUUGCAAAGAAGUUCAACUUAUGUCCACACAAAAACUUGUACAUGAAUAUUGAUAGCACCAAUUGAUUAAAAUAUCAAAAAAAGUUUUUAAUUGUGGCAAAACACACAUAACACAAACUUUACUUUUUUUUUUUUUUUUGCCUAGGGAAGAUUCGCCCUGAGCUAACAUCUGUGCCAAUCUUCCUCUAUUUUGUACGCGAGUUGCCGCAUAGCAUGGCUGCCGAUGAGUGGUGCAGGUCCGUGCCUGGGAACUGAGUCUGGGAUGCUGGAGUGGAGCAUGCUAACUUAACCACUAGGCUAUGGGGACAGUGCCUUACCAUUUUUAAGUGUGCAGUUUGGUAGUGCUAAGUACAUUCACAUUGUUGCGCAACCAACUUCCAGAACUCUUUUCAUCUGCAAAACUGAAACUCUAUACUCAUUAAAUAGUAACAUACUCUUCCUUUUUUCAUUCCAGGCCCUGACAACCUCCAUUCUACUUUCUGUAUCUAUGAAUUUGAUUACUCGAGAUACUUCAUCUAAGUGGAAUCACACAGUAUUUUUUUUGUGACUGGCUUAUUUUACUUAGCAUAAUGUUCUCAAGGUUCGUCCAUGUUGUAGCAUGUGCCAGAAUUUCUUUUCUUUUUAAGGCUGAAUAAUAUUCCAUUGUAUGUGUGUUUUGUUGAUCCAUUCAUCAGUUGCUUCAUACUUGGGUUGCUUCCACCUUUUGGCUACUGUGAAUAAUGCUGCUUUGAACAUGAGUGUACAAAUAUCUCUUCGAGACCCAGAGGUGGAAUUGCUAGAUCGUAUAAUAAUUCUAUUUUUAAUUAUUUGAGGAACUGCCAUACUGUUUUCCAUAGCAACUUAACCAUUUUACAUUCCCAUCAACAGUUUACAGGGUUUCAAUUUCUCUACACCCUUGCCAACACGUUUUUUUUUAAUAGUAGCCACCGCUGUGAUUUUGAUUUUGAUUUCCUUAAUGAUUAGUGAUGUUGAGCAUCUUUUCAUGUGCUUGUUGGCCAUUUGUAUAUCAUCUUUGGAGAAAUGCCUAUUCAAACCUUUGCCCAUUUUUUUAAUUGAGGUUUCUUUUUUGUUGUUGUUAUUGAGUUGUAGGAGUUCUUUAUAUAUUCUAAAUAUUGACCCUUUAUCAGAUAUAUGAUUUGCCAAUAAUUUCUCUCAUGUUGUAGGGUUUUUUACUCUGUUGAUUGUGUCCUUUGGUGCACAGAAGUUUUUAAUUUUGAUGUAGUACAAUUUACCUAGUUUUACUUUUGUUACCUGUGCUUUUAGUGUCAUAUCCAAGAAAUAAUUGCCAAAUCCAAUGUCAUGAAGCUUUUGUCCUAUGAUUUCUUCUAAGAGUUUUAUCUCUUAUGUUUAGGGCUUUGAUUUGUUUUGAGUUAAUUUUUGUUUAUGGUGUAAUGUAACGGUCCAACUUCCUUCUUUUGUAUAUGGAUAUCCAAUUUUCCCAAUACCAUUUGUUGAACUUCCCAUUAUUUCUUAAAUGGCAUUAUUUGACUCUGUAACCUACAAGACAUUAAAAUACAAAAAGCACUUAAGGUGCAUUAAAAUCUAUGAACCAGUAAGAAUCAUGGUGAUGCAACUGUAAGCCAAAUGAAUUUCUUCUGAGGAGAAAAGGCUGUGGCCAGCCUGUGAGGCAAAAGUACUAAGCAGGAAAUGAAACUAUAAAAUAAAAGGUCAGUCUUUACCUAAAAGCAGCUUAGAGAGUAUUUCCAGUGACACAGCAGCCUCUCAAUACACCAUAUAUCAUCUCUAUACAUUAAAGGUACUAUAUAUUGUCCAAGAAAGAUUAACCUAACAACCAAAUACAAACAAGAAAAGAUGCAUCUUAAUUAUCUAAUUACCGUUCAGGAUCCCAGUGAUUUUGGAACCUAGUGAAACAUCUCAGAUUAAUGUUGCUAUAAGUUGGUUUUGGUUAUAUUACUAGGUGCUUCAUUCCCAUUGAGUCAUUAUAAUCUGUUAAUUAAAAGGAUAUCUACUUACAGCUUCUUUUCAAAGUCUUAGUGAACUUUUGUUCCAGGACUGUCUCUAGGAUUAAGAUGCUUUCUGCUUUUAGUUUCAUUUGUUUCCACAACAUUAACUGUACAUAUAGCAUAACCGAUGUCUCUAAUAGAAAAAGUUAAAUUCUGUUUAGAAUAGUGUUUAAUAAAAUUGAAUAUACGUAUAAAGUUUUUAGAGAUGUUUAUUUUGAAAUUUUACAAUAAAAAUUCUGCUACUCAAAAGAUUAAGCUUCAGUUUUCUAGACAUUUUAUAGUUCCUGAAAACAGCUGGAUAAAAGAGAUUUUAGAAUGAAUCAGAGCCUGGUACAAACCGACAUCAUGACUCAGAAUACAAGUGAACAGAAAUCUAUGCGUCUACUUAGCAGACUAGAAAGUUACUAGCUGGUAAAAUAAGCUAAAACUCCAUGAAAUUAAAAUGAAUGCUUUCUGCAGUCACAAUAAAGUUCUGGUAACAUUUUUUAGGUUCUUCUAACAUAGACACAUGCUCAAUAGCACAAACAAAUUUCAAUCAAAUAAGAAGAGCUUAAGUGUAGAAAAUAUACAAUCAACCCAGUUUACUCCUUCCUGUACCACAGGGCAUAGCUACAUGCCAUCUGGUGAUUAUUAGGCGAGAAAGCUGCCAUCUGCCACUUCCGCUAAUACAUGGGAGAGGGGUGGCUAUCCCUACCCUGUAAGCCUGUGGAGAUUUCCUUAUGGCUGUUUACAUGCCCCAGGGCUCCAAUUGAUGAGUUAGAGUUUACUCUGUGUGUGUGUGCACACCCAACGUAUUCAACACCAAAGUGAGACAUCUUUUUCUUACAACCUCUUAAGUGACAAAAAAGUCACUGUUUGGCCUGCUUAACUCAUCCCACAGCAAGCCUCUUCUAUCCUGCCUGAUUCAAAGCCAUGAUGCUAUUAAAUACAACCUAAACUAGAGAGACAAAAUUGGAUUGCAGCCAUAAAAAUAAAUUACAAAGUGGAUGCAAAUAGAAUCUAAGAUGUGAAAAGGACCUGCCAGUCCUUCUGUCUUACAUCCCUUCAAGGAAAGUCAGAACCUAAAUCGUCCUCAAAGAAAUCUUUCCAUAGAUUCUCAUAAAAGAAUUUUUAAGGUGUCAUAUCUUUUCUUACCCAGUCAGAAGUUUAUUUCCUUACAUUUAAAAAAGCAAGAAUAGGGCGUAAAAUUAUUUCAAAGAGGUUUUAGCUAAUAUCCAAAUUUGAGCUAUUUCUAGAACUUAAUGAGGUGGAAAUAGGGAAAGAAAAAGAGAAGAUAUAAAGGUACAUGAGUUCUUUCCUAACUUAUGUCAGGCCUGUCUGUUUCUCAAAACUUUGCGCUUAAUAGCUGCUUCCUAUAAAGUUAUUGAAUAAAUGAAUGAAUGGAAUGAAUUUCUCUCUCCAUAGAAUGGUACCAAUUGACCCCACUUGAUGAUUCAUUCUCACCCACAGAAAUUUUGUAUUCUAAAGAAGUAAAGAAUAAAAUUUUAAAAAUUCCCUAGAUGACCUAGAGCGUGACUCUGUUCUGAAAUCAUCAUUCAGCAGCCUGAUAUGGUACAAAGAUCGUAGGAAUAUGAUUGUGUUUCUAGGUCUUAGUCUCAAAUCUUAAAGUAAUUGUAAAUUUUGGAGCAAGUCACUUAGCCUCUCUGUGCCUCAGUUUCCUCUGCCAUCAAAGAAUCAUUCCUACUUGUCCCAACCCAUCUCACAGGGCUGCCAGGAAAAUCUAUAAGACAUUGAAUGGGAAUGGAGCCAUGCACAUAAGAAAAAGCAUUAAAUGCUUAACAGAAAGCUGUGUAGAGUAAGUUGCUACAUGAAUAAACUUUUACCAGGCAAUAUUUAUAAAACUUUCACAUAAAAUGGCACAGAAGAGCUUAUACUUCAAGCCAAGAUGGAGUAACAAGGACUGGAUUUACUCUACUGCCUGGACAACUAAAAAGCUGGAAUAAUGUAUGAAACAUCUCUCAAGACAUUGGCUAUCAGAAGACAAAAACCAAUUAUCCCAAAGUGACAGAAAACAAAUGUAGUGAUACCUAAUAAUGCUGUCUUACUGCCUAGAGAAAGUUUCUAGGCCAAGACACAGGAAGAGGGAAAGCACUCAGAGCACAGAGCUCUCCUGGAAUUGAGGAGACAAAGCUGGAAGUCAGGACAACCAGAGUUCAUAGGACAGAGUAUCAGAGAAGAGAGAAUUGCACAAAGAGAAAACACCAGAAAUCUGCAGAGGGUGUGACUCAAGACUUCACUUGAGUACUGAUCAGCCCAUACUUGUGAGAAAACUACCUGAGGCUGAACAAAGAACAACCUAAAAGGAAUAAAGGGAACAGUGCUUGAGUUCACAAAGGGAUGGAAUUAGUGUCUCUUCCAAAAAAGCCAGAGUGAGAAUAUUUCAUAAUCCACAUGGUACAAAAAAAGAGUCUCAUGUCAGCAGGUGGAAAAUUAGCCCUACACUAAAUACUGUUCUAGUACCACCUAAGAAAACUUUAAAAAAGUCUCAAGGGGCCGGUCCAGUGGUGCAGCAGUUAAGUUCGCAUGUUCCGCUUUGGCAGCCCGGGGUUCACUGGUUUGGAUCCUGGGUGUGGACCUACACAAUGCUUGUCAAGUCAUGCUGUGGCAGGUGGCCCACAUAUAAAGUAGAGGAAGAUGGGCAUGGAUGUUAGCUCAGGGCCAGUGUUCCUCAGCAAAAAGAGGAGGAUUGGCAGCAGAUGUCAGCUCAGGGCUAAUCUUCCUCAAAAAAAGAAAAAAAGGGUCUCAAGAAGAUCAGUUUAUUUCCAAAUAAUUGAAUUACAUUCCAGAACAAAGUUCAACAAUAUUUAUGUGAAUACAAAAAUACAAGAACAUUACAAUGUAAAAUUCAUAAUAUCUGGCAUCCAAUAAAAAAUUAUCUGUCAUGAAAAGACGUAGGAAAAUACACCCCAUAAUGAGGAGAAUAAUCAAUCAAAACUGACCCAAAUAUGAUACAAAUAAUAGAAUUAGUAGACAAGAGUAUUAAGACAGUUGUUAUAAUUAUACUUCAUACAUUUAAGAAGAAGGGGAAAGAUUGAGCAUGUUAAGUAAAGAUGUUAAAGAUAUAAAAGAGACCCAAGUUGAGCUUCUAGAGAUAAAAACUACAAUGUCUGAGGGGCUGGCCCAGUGGAGUAGUGGUUAAGUUCAUGUGCUCUGCUUUGGUGGCCCAGGUUUCACGAGUUUGGAUCCUGGGUGCAGACAACCUACACACCACUCAUCAAGCCAUGCUGAGAUGCUGUCCCACAAACAAAAUAGAGAAAGAUUGGCACAGAUGUUAGCUCAGGGUUUUUAAAAAAAAACCCACAAAAACCCAAAAAAACCUAGAAUGUCUGAGAUGAAAAAUACAUUGAAUGGGAUUAACAGCAGAUUAACCAUUGUAGAAGAAAAUAUUAGUGCACUUGAAGACAUAGCCGUAGAAAGUGUCCAAAAUGAAAACAAAAGGGAAGGAGAGAGAGAGAAUUGAAAAAAACUAACAGUAUCAGGGAAAUAAUGGAUAAUUUCUAGUGAUCAAAUAUUUGUUUAAUUAGAAUCAGGAAAGGAGAGAGGAGAGGGAGAAGACAGAAAUAAUAUUUGAAGAAAUUGCAGCCCAAACUUUAAAAAUUUGAAAAAAAUCCAUAAACCCACAGAUCCAAUAAGUUCAGCAAACUCAAAGCAAAGUAACAUAAAGAAAACUACAGCAAGAUAAGUCUUAAAUUGCUCAAAGUGUGAUAAAGAGAAAAAUUUUAAAGCAGGAAAAAAGAUAUAUAACAUACAGAGGAACAAAGAGAAAUUUGACAGGAGACUUCUUGUUGCAGAAAAUGCAACCUUGAAGAUAGUGGAACAACAUAUUUAAAGUACUUAAAAAAUCAUCAACCAAUAAUUUUUUACCCAGCUAAGUGAUUUUUCAAAAAUGAAGAUGAAAUAAAAAGGUUUUCAGACAAGCAAAAGCUAAAAGAAUUCACAUCGCAGACCUGUAGAACAAAUGUUAAAGGAAGUCCUUUAAGCAGAAGACAAAUAAUAUUAGGCAAGAAUUUGGAUCUACAAAAAGCAAUAAAAAGCAGUGGAAAUAAGUAAUGAUGGGGUAUAUAUUAAAAAAAUUUUACCUUAUUACUUAAAUCUAUUUAAAAGGUAAUUUCUUAAAGCAAAAAAAAAAAAAACAAAAAACAAUGCAUUGUGGGGAUUAUAAAAUACGCAGAAGUAAAAUAUAUGCCAAGAAUAGCAUAAAGGCCCAGCAAGGAGAACUAGAACUAUACUGUUGUGAAAUUUUUACACUAUACAUGAAGUGGUAUAAUAUCACUUGAAGGUAGAUUGUGAAAGAUUAAAGAUAUAUAUUAUAAACCCUAAAGCAACCACUAAAAUAACACAACAAAGACUUUAGCUAAGAAGUUAAAAAGGAAGAUAAAGUGGAACCAUACAAAAUAAUCAGUUAAUCCAAAAGGAUAAAAAGAGAACAAAGAUGAGACAAAUAGAAAGCAAAUAGUAAGAGGAUCAGUUUAUACCCAACUAUACUUAUAAUCACCUUAAAUCUAAAUAGUCUAAAUAUUCUAAUUACAUGCAGAGAAUGUCAGAUUCAAUUUAAAAAAAGGGAGAUGCACUCUAUGCUGUCUGCAAGAAAUACACUUUAAAUAUAUAGAUACAAAAAAGUCAAAGUAAAAGGAUAGAAAAUGAUAUAUGAUGCUAGUACUUUUCAAAAGAAACCGAUAAUGGAUAUAUUAAAUAUCAGACAAAGUCUAUUUCAAUGCAAGGAAUAUUAACAAGGAUAAUGAGGGUCAUUUCAUAAUGAUAAAGUAGUCAAUUCAGUGAAAGAACAUAAGAUUCUUAAUGCUUAUAUACCUAAUAAUAGAGCUUCAAAAAACACGAAGGAAAAAUAAUAGAACUAAAAGAAAAAUGGACAAAUCCACAAUUAUAGACAGAAAUUCAUUAUCCUUCUCUCAAUAAUUAAACAAGUAAACAGAAAAUCAGCAAGGAUAUAGUAGAUUUACACAUAAUCAACUACACAGACAUUUACCAAGAUAGACCACAGGCUGGGCCAUAAAACAAAGCUUUAAGAAAUUUAAAAGCAUUCAAGUCAAAGAAAAUAUGUUAUGUGACUACAAUGAAAUUGAAUUAGAAAUAAAUGAAAGAAAAACAUCUGGAAAAUUCCUAAAUAUUUGAAAAUUGAAUAUUUCUAAAAAAUCCAUCAUAGAUCAAAGAAGAAAUCAAAAGCGAAAUUAGAAAGUAUUUUGGACUACAAAAAUGAAAACACUACAAAUCAAAAGUUGUAGGAUGCAGCUGAAGCAGUAGUUCAUGGGAAUUUCAUAGCACUAAAUACCAAUAUUAGAAAAAAAGAAAGGUCUCAGUCAAUUACCUCAUCUUUCACCUUAAGAAACUAGGAAAAAAGAGCAAAUUAAACUGCAAGUAAUCAGAAGAAAAGAAAUAUUAAAGAUCAGUGGAGAAAUUGAUGAAAUACAAAGCAGAAACACAGUAGAGAAAAAUCAAUGAAAUCAGAGCCGGUUCUUUGAGCACACUGAUAAAAUUGAUAAACUUCUAGCCAAACUGAUCAAAGAGAAUACACGAAUUAUUAGUAUCAGAAACAUGAGAGGUGACUGUUACUGAUUCUAUAGUAACUAAAAGGAUAAUAUGGGACUAUUAUGAACAACAGUAUGCCAAUAAAUUUGACAAUGUAGAAUCAAAUGGAGAAAUUACUUGAAAGAGACAAAGUACCAUAGCUCACUCAAUAAGAAACAUCUUAACCCGAAUAGCCCUAUAGAUAUUAAAGAAAUUGAAUUUGAAGUUAAAAACCUUUCACCAAGAAAAUCCAGCCUCAUAUGUCUUCACAGAUGAAUCUACCAAAAGUUUAAGGAGGGAAAAAAAAUAUCAAUUUUAACAAACUCUUCCAGAAAAUUUAAUUGGAAGAAACAUUUCUCAAAUCAUUUUAUAAAGCUAAUAUUGCCAUUAUACAAAGACCAGAAAAAGACUUUACCAAAAGAUAGAAAUCUAAAGACCAAUAUCCUAUAAGUGAGUUUAGCAAGGUUGCAGAAUACAAGAUAAAUACAUAAAAAUCAAUUAUAUUUCUGUAUACUACCAACAAAUCAUAAAUUGAAAUUUUAAAAUGCAAUGCCAUUUAGAAUAGCAUAAAAGAUAUUGAAUACUUAGGACAAAUCUGAUAAAAUAUGCAGAAGAUCCAUAUACUAUAAACUACAAAAUUUUGCUGAAAGAAAUUAAAAAAGCCCUACAUAAUUGGACAGAUAUACUGUGGUCGAUGAUCAAAAAAUUUAAUAUUGUUAAGAUAUGACUUCUCCCCAGUUUUAAUCUAUAGAUUCAGAGAAUCCAAUGAAAAUCCCAACAGGCUUUACUGUAGAAAUUGACAAACUGAUUCUAAAACUCAUAGUAGAAUGUAAAGGACCUGGAACACACAAGACAACUUUGAAAAAGAAGAACAAAGUUGGAGGGCUUCCAUUACUUGCCUUUAAAACUUACUAUAGACCUAUUGUUAUCAAGACACUGUGACAUUGGUGUCAAAAUAAACAAAUAGAUCAAUGAAAAGAAUAAAGCCCCCAAAAUAGACUCACACAUAUAUACAGAAAUAAUUUUUGACAAUGGUGCAAAGGCAAUGCAGUGGGAAAAAGAAUAACUUUUUCAACAAAUGGUACUAGAACGAAUGAAUACUAUUUGCAAAAAAAUAAAAAUUAAAAAAAGAACUUUGAUCCAUAUGUUUCACUAUAAAAAUAUUAACAUUAAUUAAUAUAGAUCAUAGACCAAACUGCAAGACAUAAAACUAUAAAACUUCUAGAAGAAAACAUAGGUGAAAAUCUUUGUGACCUCGAAUUGGGCAAUGGCUCUUAGAUAUGACACAAAAAGAAAAAUCCAUUAAAAAAACUGAUAAACUGGGAUACAUCAAAAUUAAGAACUCCUGUUCUUCAAAAUAUAACAUUAGGAGAAUGAAAAAACACACAAAAGCCUGGAAGAAAAUAUUUAUAAGUCAUGUAUCAAGUAAAGGAGUUAUAUCUAGAAUAUGUAAAGAACUCUCAAAACUCAUAAUAAAAAAAUCUAAUCGUUUAAAUGAGCAACAGAUCUGAACAAACAUUUCACCAAAAAAUAUAUAUGGAGGAUCAAUAAGCACAUAGAAAGAUGUUCAUCAUUAGUUAUUAAGGAAGUGCAGUUUUAAAAUCAUAAUAUAACACUACACAUCUAAUAGAAUGUCUAAAGUUAAAAAUACUAAUCUUGGGUGAGCCCCGGUGGCCUAGUGGCUAAGUUUGUGCUCUCUGCUUCAGCAACCUGGGUUCAGUUCCUGGUGUGGACCUACACCACUGGUCUGUCAAUGGCCAUGCUGUGUUGGCGGCUCACAUAUAACAAGAGGAUGAUUGGUGCCAGAUGUUAGCUCAGUAUGAAGCUUUCUCAGGAAAAAAAUAAAAUGCUAAUCUUAAAUGUUCUCAUCAUAAAAAGAAAUGAUAAUUAUGUGAUGUGAUGGAGGUGUUAGCAAACCUAUGGUGAUAAUCAUUUGUGAUUAUAAGUGUAUCAAAUCAAUUUGUUGUACAUCUUAAACUUGCACAACAUUAUGUGUCAGUUAUAUCUCACUUAAGAUAAAAAAUAGAAUCUGCUUAAAGUAAAAACUAUUGACUGUCAAGUGUUGGCUAAGUUAUGGAGCAAGUGGAAUUCUCAUACACUACUGAUGGGAAAAUAAAUGGUGCAACCACUUUGAAAAACAGUUUGGCAGGUUCUUUAGAAGUUAAACAUACACCUACCAUAAUGACCUAGUCAUUUCACUCUUAGGUUUUUCUCCAAGAGAAAUAAAAGCACAUGUGUGUAUAAAGACUUGUACAAGAUUAUUUAUCACAGCUACAUUCAUAACGGCCCAAAAUUGUAAACAGCACAAAUGCCAAUCAAUAAAGGAAUGGAUAAUCAAUUUGUGGUAUAACCAUGAAAUGGAAUGCUCUCAGAGAUGAAACAGAAUGAACCAUUAAUACACAAAACAACAGGGAUGAAUCUCAAAAUAAUUAUGCUGAGUGAAAGAAGUCAGGCAAAAAAGUACAUACUCUAUGAUUUCAUUUAUACAAAAUUCUAGAAAAUGCAAACUAAUCUAUAGUGACAGACAGCAGAUCAAUGGUUGUUGAGCAUAUGAAUAGGUGGAAAGAAAGGAUGAGAGGGAGGGAUUACUAAAGGGCAAAAGGAAAUGGUUGGGGUGGAUGGAUGUGUUUAAUGUCUUCAUUAUAGUAUAGUGGUUUCACGGAGUAUGCAUAUGUCAAAACUUAUCAAAUUAUUUACUUUAAACACAUGCAACAUCAAUUUUACCUCAAUAAAGAUGUUUCCAAAAAUAGCAUAGGUCAGAGUUAAAAGCAGGAUACAAUUAGUUGCCUAGAAAGCAGCAGAGGGAAGAUAUGCCAAAAGUAAUAACUGCAAUCAUUAGAAACCUUCAUCCCAGUAGACCUAGACCACGUUGGCUGCAGGACCGCUUUCUUCAAUAUGCUCUCAGGCAUAUUUUCUACUUUUAUGCGCUCUAAUUGUUGUGCUUUAUCUAUGGAAUGUGGAUCCAUCUUAGAGCAAUCUUCUAGCUCUAUGCCUUCCCAUCUCUCAUUAGACCGUGUGCCAUUUUUCCCUUGAAAUGUCUCAGACAUCCUGGGCCUAUCUUUUAAUAAGAAGAUUUGUGUUCAUUCAGUUGCCCACACAUCAUGUGCCAAGCGACCCAGCCCAUAGCAAUCUUCACUAUUACACAUCAAACUCUUAUUCAAACUAUCUGGCUCCUGUUCUGUAAUGAGAUGCUGUGGGUUAAGGUCUUGAGAUGCCACAGUCUUCCAGCCCUUAGAAUCAGAAUGUUCUUCCUGGGAUUUUUUUUUUUUUUAAUGUGGGCCUAGUUACUCUGCUAUUACUCAUUCUCCAUGGCCCAGCACAAACCAAAAGAAUGCACUACAUACUUUCACAGAUAUCGUGCCAUUCAAUAUGCUAGGAGCUGAAUGUACAGUGGAAAAAAGUUACUGUCAUCAAAAAGUGAAGGCAGACCCUUCCACUUCUUGGAAGAUGGGUUGGAUUUACUUUUUCCUAUUGCUCCCACUAAGGACAACAAAACACUCUGGACAUUAUAUGUAAGAGAAAUAUAAGAAAACUUGGAAAAGUGGAGAAAAGAAGGCAGACAAAAUAGGGACAUCAGGGGCCAAGGGAUGAUACAGUGGUGAGUUCCCUGGGUUUUCUUUUGCCUUAUAUAUCCCACAAUUGGAGCUGAAGAAGCCAGCAAUGCAGAAAUGUCAAUAGGUGCAGACAACAACAAUAACAACAAACAAAAGCCUGCUCUCUGUAGCCAAAGUAACAGGAAAGGGGCAGUAUAGCAUGACAGAAAACUUUUAGACAGUAAUUUCUCUACUCCAGCCAAACACCAUAGGAAAGAAAAGUAAAUAAAUAAAGCCUAUUGCCCUAUCCUCACUCAUGCCAGCAAAGACCAUGUAGGGAGCCUAGACUUCCAACCUCCAAGGCUGUACCAAGGUAUCCCAACACCCCUGCCAGAAAAGUCCAACUAGAGAGCUGAGACUAUCUUUCCUGACAACUGGUAAUGAGGUCCACACUGUAGUAUCAGUGGAAACCAUGUAGGGCGCCUGGACUUCCACACCUACCUGGCAGUAAUGAGGUACUUCUCCCCUCCCUCUUGGGGAAGUAUCAGAGAGUCAGGACUUUCACAUCACUCAGCAGUAAUGAGGCCACCCUCACUGCAGUGUGAACACAAUCUACUUGGAAAGCUGGAACUCCCACUUCUGCACAGCAGUGACAAGGAAUCCCCCUAUCUCUGGGGUCAACAGAGGCCAAGUUGGGAAGCUGGUCUUCUAUCUCCACCCGACAGUGACAAGGUGAUGCCUUUCCCUUCUCUUGCUACAGCAGUGUCAGAGGGAACCAAUUAAAACAGAAGGUUUAAGUAAGAUCCAGAUUCUUGUAACAUAAUAUGAAAAUGUCCAGGUUUCAAUAAUAAAAAUCGCCUAUGCCAUAAACCAGGAAGAUCUCAAGAUGAGUGGAUAAAUAUAGAUGCAAAAAAUUAUUAACAAAAUAUUAGCAAAUAGAAUUCAGCAAUAUAGAGAAAGAAUUAUACUCUAUGCCCAAGUGAAGUUUUUCAAGGAAUGCAAAAAGUUAUUCAGUAUUUGAAAAUCAAUCAAUGUGAUCCACCAUAUUAGCAAACUAAUGAAAAAAACCAUAUGACCAUAUUAAUCAAUGCAAAAAAGGCAUUUGACAAAAUUCAGUUCCCAAUCAUGAUUUAAAAAACAAUCCAGAAGAAUAAGAAUAGAGGGAAUCUUCUCAACUUGAUAAAAAGCAUGUACAGAAAAUCUUCAGCUAAUAUUAUACUUAAUGGUUAAAGACAUCUGCUUUGUGCCUAAGAUUGACAACAAGGCGAGGAUGUCAACUCAUACCUCUCUUAUUGAAUAUAGUGCUGGAAAAUCUAAACAGUACAGUAAGGCAAGGCAAGGAAAUAGAAGGCAUACACAUCAGAAGGGAAGAAAUAUAACUGUCCCUAUUUGCAAGUGACAUAAUUUUGUACAAAGAGAAUCCCAAGGAAUCUACAAAAAAAAAAUCAAGAAAACCAACAAAAAUCUCAUAGAACUAAUAAGUGAUUCAGCAAGGUCACAAGAUGAAAUAUAAACAUGCAAAAAUAAAUUAUAUUUCUAGAAUCUCAAGGCACCCUGAAUAGCCAAAACAAUAUUAAAAAACAGAAGAACAAAGUUGGAGGGCUCACAUUCCCUGAUUUCAAAACUUAGUACAAAGCUACAGUAACCAAAACAGUGUGACACUAAUGAUUCACAGGUGAUUUGUAAAAACUAAUGGGAAGAUUUUUUGCCAACAAACUGCCUGAUAUUUUACCAGUUGGGGAUUGGAUUAAUAUUUACCCCUGUGAAGAUUAAGGCAACAGCAGGGGCUGAGGUAGAGGAAGCAUAGAGAUAGAUAUAAGGACAGUCAGACUAUAAUAAGGGGCAUAGCAGAGGUACAAACAAAGUCCAGUGGGAACAAGGAGGAAACUUUAAGUCUUCCUAAAGGCAUCCAAGAAGCCAUCAUGGGCAAAGUGGCAACAUUUGAAUUGCUUUAAGGAUGAAUGUGAAUAUGACAGAUGGAAAAAGGACAAAAGGGAAUAAUUGAAUGAGGGAACAGAAUGAUCACAAGGUGUAGAGCUGUGCAAGAUGGUGGUUGGGUUGGGGAAUGGUGGUGGUUGGUGCACAGUUCUAUAUUAAUACUGCUCCUAUUCCUAUUGGUGCAGGGCUGAAGUCCAUUAAAUGUGCCAAUUAAUCUUUUCAUAAUCUAUUUUAGAUUUUGUAUUAGUUUCCUAUUGCUGCUGUAAUAAAUCACUACAAACUUAGUAGUUUAAAAUGACACAAAUUUAUCUUACAGUUCUGUAGGUCAGAAGUUCUAAAAUCAAGGUGCCAGCAGGGCUCUGUUCCUUCUAGAGGCUCUAAAGGGGAGUCCAUUUGCCUUUUCCAGCUUCUAUAGGUUGCCUGCAUUCUUUGCCUCAUGACCCCUUCUUCACCUCAUUCUGAUCCCUGCUUCCAUCAUCACAGCUCCUUCUCUCACUUUGACCCUUCUGCCUCCCUCUUACAAGGACUGUUGUGAUUACAUUGGGCCCAACUAUAUAAUUUAGGAUACUCUUCUUAUCUCAAAAUUCUCAACCGCAUCUGCAAAGUUCCGUCUGCAAUGUAAGGUAAUAUAUUCAUAGGUUUUGGGGAUAAGGAUGUAAACAUCUUUGGAGCUCCAUUAUUCUGUCUCCUACAGAUUCUACUGGAGCUAAUUAUCUGAGGUCCCAAAAAAUAGAGGCUGAAUUAAUUUGUAUAUCUAAAGAGCGUGCAACCCAAAUGGUAUCUUUCUGGCUAUUCAAAAUAGUUGACUUUCUGCAACUAAUUUGUAGGGUCCCCUUUCAUCAGUCAGUAUCAUGAGUGAUAACUCUCAAAACAAUCCCAAAUCAUUCACAGCUUCUCUACUGGUGAGACCUUUCUGACACCAAUCCUUGGCAUGUCAUGAAUAUUUAAAGAGUUCCUGUUGCCUUCUUUCCUUUCAUCACUAAACUUGUGAAAGGAGGCAUUAACAAUCACCAUCUCCAUUUCUUUAGCUCCCAUUCACAUUUUCACCCAGGAAAAGCUGUCACCUAUCCUGGAUUCAGUUUCCUCACCUGGUCCAGGUCCUUUAUUAUUGAGAUGUUCCUCUCCAGCUUUAAGCUCUGUGACUCCAGGCUACUUCUCAAUCAACCAGCAUCAGGAGGGGGGGCUGGUUCACCUCAAGUCUCUUAGCCCCUAGUAAAUUAUGUUUCUCCUAGGCUUUCAAGCCAAGCUGUCAGUCUAAUCAGUUUGUUGUGACAAACUUUGGUUCAGAAUUCAGCAGGAACUUUUUCAGCAUUGUAGAAGCCCAUUAAGAAACAAUUCAGGCUGGGAAUGAAGGCUGCCCCUCCAUUCCUGGGAGGCUUCUUUCCUGAUGCUGGGCUGCAUACUGAUGCCCUUCUGGCUGGGGGCUUCUGUAUACUAAGAAAGCAAAAAUAUCACGCUUUCAGGGUGGAAGGGGAUAGAAACUCUAGCACGGAUGUGCCUGAGGCAGUCUGGUCUCUGAGGGCUCAGAGUUAAUAACAGCUUUCACUUUUAGUUAUAUAUUUACUUUCCAUAUAAUCUCUUUUGGGCUGAAGAAAAACAACACAUCUUCUAACCAGGGAAAGAGAACAGUUUCUGUUUGAGAAAAGUUCAGUAGUCUAUUAAAUAUUUUUUUAUUUAAAAAACAUUUUUAAAAAAGAUUUUAUUUUGUUUUUCCUUUUUUCUCCCCAAAGCACCCUGGCACAUAGUUGUAUAUUUUUAGUUGUGGGUCCUUCCAGUUGUGGUAUGUGGGACGCCGCCUCAGUGUGGCUUGAUGGGUGCCGUGUCCGUGCCCAGGAUUUGAACCAGCAAAUCCCUGGGCCUCUGAAGUGGAGUGCGCGAACUUAGCCACUCGGCCCCCAGGCCAGCCCCUAUUAAAUAUUUUAAAUUGCUUUAUAAAAUGUUUCAAGCCUGGAUUUUCUGUAAUUUAUUUAAUAAUAUUCACUGAGGGAGAUCUGACAAUGUUUGACGAGGCUCCAAAAGCUUUUAUUGAUUGUCUUCUGAAAGACCUGAUUAUCUUCCUGCUUCUAGGGGAAAGGAUUUAUUGGGGAAUACUCCUGAGACGAAGUGCGAGUGGGGAAUGGUUGCUUCCAGUCUUGUGUUAACUUGUAGUAAAUGAAUAGUUAAUACAACUUUAUUUCUUUGUUCAUUCAAUGUAUUUACUGAGGCCUUACCAUGUUCUAGGGUCUGUGCUGGGCAGUAAGUAUAGAUAUGAAUUAGACACAGCUUGGUUUUCAGGGAGCUUCCAGUCUAGCAGGAUAGAGAGAUAUGUAAAUAUCAUGUAAACUAAGUGCAACAAAAUGUUGUGGAUUCUAUGGAAGCAUCUGCAUAUUAUAUAAUGAGGGUAAAAUGGGGAUGGAUCCAUGAUUUUAUUACCGGGAAAUGGAAAAGCAUCACUUGAGGUCCUUGUAAGUUCUUACCCAGGUAGCAGGUAUAUGAAUGAGAAGGCAUUCUGAAGGAGGCCUGGCAUUAUCCAUACACUGGUUCAAUGACCCCCUAAAUAUUUAUGGGAUAUUGACCUUAAGCCAAGAAUAUGCUUAUGGUCAAGAAUUUAUUUGACUGGAUGAUCAAAUAAAAAGGAGAGCAGUUACAGGACACUUGAAGAAAAAGGAGAUUUUUCUUGCCAAAAGAAUAGUGAACAGGGAAAUAAAGAGAUAGUGAAAAAUCAAGGGAGUCUACUUUAUUGUAUUUUAUUUUCUUGCUGGGGAAGAUUAGCCCUGAGCUAACAUCUGUUGCCAAUCUUCCUCCACUUUAUAAGUGGGUCACCACCACUGCAUGGUUUACGAGUGGUGUAGGUCUGUGCCCGGGAUCCAAACCCAUGAACCUGGGCCGCCAAAGUGGAGCAUGCCCAACUUAACCACUGCAUCAUGGGGCUGGCCCCAAGGGAGUCUACUUUAAUAUUAAAUAUUUACCUGGUGAGGGCUGAAAGUUUUUCAUACUCUGGUCAGGCUUACCAAAUUUGAAAUGGUAACCCCAUAAAUGUGAAAGUAUGAGAUUUCUUUUGUGGCCUUUCUUGCGGUGGUAAAAACAGAAUAUGUGCUUUUUAAAAAAAAUUUAUAAUCGAGGCUUUAUAAAUCCAGAAGGAAAAGCUAAACUCUUAAGUGGUUCCUAUAUUUCUUGAGAAAUAUAUUAUUUUCUCUAACAACAGUUAUUUCAAACCAAAGCAGCACUAGAUGACUUAAUAAGGGAAAAAUCUAAUAACUCAGAAUAAGUAUGGGCAAAGAACAGGAGUACGCAGUUUCAUAGAGAAGUGAAUAUGAAUGGAUUGCACAAAUAUAAAAAAUAGUCAGCGUUACUUAUAAAGACAUGCAAAUCCAAACAAAGAGAGACCUACCCGAAUGCCAACAUUUAGACAUUCAAUAACAUUGUGUUGAAGAAUGAAGAAACUGUCAACCUCAAAUAUUGUGGAUGAGAGAAAAAUGUGUGCAACCAUUUUGGAGAGCAAUUAGAUGCUGUCUAACAAAACUAAAUACGCACACAUAUUCCUCGACCUAGUAACUCCACAUCUAGAAAUUUAUCCUAAGAUAAAUGGUCAAAGAAGUUAUGUACAAAGAUGUUUCUACAGCCUUGUUUCUAAAAGCAAUACUAAAAUAUAUCUUUCAAUUGGAAAUUAAGUAAAUUAUGGUUGAUUCAUACUAUGGAAUAUGUCACUAUUAAAGAGAAAGAUGUAAAUACAUUUGUGCUAACACAGAAAUAUCCCUAUCAUUAAAAAGCAGAUGCAGAACAGUGUGUGUGAUGCCUGUAAAUAGAAGACGUUUGAACGGGUACACAAGAAACUGCUAACAGUCGUUUUCCGGGGAGUGGAAUUGGGAGGAUUUGGUGUAAGAAGCAGAUUUAAUUUUUAUUGUAUACAUUGGAUUCUGUUUCACUCAUUUCCCUAUGUAUAUGUGUGACUUCUUUCAAUUAAAAGCCGGCCCCGUGGCCGAGUGGUUAAGUUCGUGCACUCUGCUGCGGUGGCCCAGGGUUCAGAUCCUGGGCGCGGACAUGGCACUGCUUGUCAGGCCAUGCUGAGGCAGCAUCCCAUAUCCCACAACUAGAAGGACCUUCAACUAAGAUGUACAACUAUGUACCAGGGGGGAUUUGGGGAGAUAAAGCAGAAAAAAAAAAAAAAAAAGAUUCGCCACAGUUGUUAGCUCAAGUGCUAAUCUUUAAAAAAAAAAAAAAGCAAAAGCUAGUUUAAAUAGACUAGUUUAAAUAGUAAGAAAACUAGUUUAAAUAGUUUAAGUAGACAGAAGAGAUCAGUGGUGGAAUGCUAUUGUCAGAAGACGAUCUGUAGUCCCAAAACAGAAAAAAAUUUCUCAACUUAAUCAUCCUGAGCUCUAACAGUACUUCUAGUUAUUUUUCUG